RNAcentral lists this ribosomal RNA (664 nucleotides) under Salmonella enterica. RNAcentral describes it as "partial 23S ribosomal RNA". It matches the Rfam family "Bacterial large subunit ribosomal RNA", at positions 2164 to 2824 of the family's 2925-position model. The record is from RNAcentral. Lineage: Bacteria; Pseudomonadati; Pseudomonadota; Gammaproteobacteria; Enterobacterales; Enterobacteriaceae.
GUGGACGCCAGUCUGCAUGGAGCCGACCUUGAAAUACCACCCUUUAAUGUUUGAUGUUCUAACGUGGACCCGUGAUCCGGGUUGCGGACAGUGUCUGGUGGGUAGUUUGACUGGGGCGGUCUCCUCCUAAAGAGUAACGGAGGAGCACGAAGGUUGGCUAAUCCUGGUCGGACAUCAGGAGGUUAGUGCAAUGGCAUAAGCCAGCUUGACUGCGAGCGUGACGGCGCGAGCAGGUGCGAAAGCAGGUCAUAGUGAUCCGGUGGUUCUGAAUGGAAGGGCCAUCGCUCAACGGAUAAAAGGUACUCCGGGGAUAACAGGCUGAUACCGCCCAAGAGUUCAUAUCGACGGCGGUGUUUGGCACCUCGAUGUCGGCUCAUCACAUCCUGGGGCUGAAGUAGGUCCCAAGGGUAUGGCUGUUCGCCAUUUAAAGUGGUACGCGAGCUGGGUUUAGAACGUCGUGAGACAGUUCGGUCCCUAUCUGCCGUGGGCGCUGGAGAACUGAGGGGGGCUGCUCCUAGUACGAGAGGACCGGAGUGGACGCAUCACUGGUGUUCGGGUUGUCAUGCCAAUGGCACUGCCCGGUAGCUAAAUGCGGAAGAGAUAAGUGCUGAAAGCAUCUAAGCACGAAACUUGCCCCGAGAUGAGUUCUCCCUGAGACUUAGAG